UUAAUAAGUCUUCAGAGCUUUGUAAGAGCUCAUCAUAAUUUGCUGU
This 46-nucleotide transfer RNA is filed under the name Hyalinella punctata. RNAcentral's name for it is "tRNA-Tyr". The record is from RNAcentral. Lineage: Eukaryota; Metazoa; Bryozoa; Phylactolaemata; Plumatellidae. RNAcentral also lists the same sequence under 1 other name.